This is a non-coding RNA of Acanthosepion pharaonis, 99 nucleotides long. The record is from the annotation of a GenBank genome assembly. NCBI's taxonomy places the organism in Eukaryota, Metazoa, Mollusca, Cephalopoda, Sepiida, Sepiidae.
UAUGAAACACCGAUUCCCGGACGAUCACCGAAGUUAAGUAGCGUCGAGUCUGGUCAGUAUUGAGACGGGUAACCGCUUGGGAAUACCAGGAGCUGUAAG